This 428-nucleotide ribosomal RNA is filed under the name uncultured prokaryote. Its description in RNAcentral is "bacterial SSU rRNA". It matches the Rfam family "Bacterial small subunit ribosomal RNA", at positions 355 to 774 of the family's 1533-position model. The record is from RNAcentral.
UGAGGAAUUUUGCGCAAUGGCCGCAAGGCUGACGCAGCAACGCCGCGUGGGUGAAGAAGGCCUUCGGGUCGUAAAGCCCUGUCAGGUGGGAAGAACGAUUCGGGGAGUAAUAUGCCCCGGAUGUGACGGUACCACCAGAGGAAGCACCGGCUAACUCCGUGCCAGCAGCCGCGGUAAUACGGAGGGUGCAAGCGUUGUUCGGAUUCACUGGGUAUAAAGGGUGCGUAGGCGGCCUUGUAAGUCAGAGGUGAAAGCUGCCGGCUUAACUGGCAAAUUGCCUUUGAGACUGCAAGGCUUGAGUCCGGGAGAGGAAGGCGGAAUUCCAGGUGUAGCGGUGAAAUGCGUAAAUAUCUGGAGGAACACCGGUGGCGAAGGCGGCCUUCUGGUCCGGUACUGACGCUGAGGCACGAAAGCCAGGGGAGCAAACG